UAACACGUAUCCAACCUGCCGUCUACUCUUGGACAGCCUUCUGAAAGGAAGAUUAAUACAAGAUGGCAUCAUGGGUUCACAUGUUCACAUGAUUAAAGGUAUUCCGGUAGACGAUGGGGAUGCGUUCCAUUAGAUAGUAGGCGGGGUAACGGCCCACCUAGUCUUCGAUGGAUAGGGGUUCUGAGAGGAAGGUCCCCCACAUUGGAACUGAGACACGGUCCAAACUCCUACGGGAGGCAGCAGUGAGGAAUAUUGGUCAAUGGGCGAGAGCCUGAACCAGCCAAGUAGCGUGAAGGAUGACUGCCCUAUGGGUUGUAAACUUCUUUUAUAAAGGAAUAAAGUCGGGUAUGCAUACCCGUUUGCAUGUACUUUAUGAAUAAGGAUCGGCUAACUCCGUGCCAGCAGCCGCGGUAAUACGGAGGAUCCGAGCGUUAUCCGGAUUUAUUGGGUUUAAAGGGAGCGUAGAUGGAUGUUUAAGUCAGUUGUGAAAGUUUGCGGCUCAACCGUAAAAUUGCAGUUGAUACUGGAUAUCUUGAGUGCAGUUGAGGCAGGCGGAAUUCGUGGUGUAGCGGUGAAAUGCUUAGAUAUCCCGAAGAACUCCGAUUGCGAAGGCAGCCUGCUAAGCUGCAACUGACAUUGAGGCUCGAAAGUGUGGGUAUCAAACAGGAUUAGAUACCCUGGUGGUCCACACGGUAAACGAUGAAUACUCGCUGU
This 714-nucleotide ribosomal RNA is filed under the name uncultured bacterium. RNAcentral describes it as "bacterial SSU rRNA". It matches the Rfam family "Bacterial small subunit ribosomal RNA", at positions 111 to 823 of the family's 1533-position model. The record is from RNAcentral.